Long non-coding RNA from Hemibagrus wyckioides, 295 nucleotides. RefSeq lists it as uncharacterized. The transcript is spliced from 3 exons. NCBI's taxonomy places the organism in Eukaryota, Metazoa, Chordata, Actinopteri, Siluriformes, Bagridae. The record is from RefSeq and is a predicted model, not a curated record.
AAAUCUGAUUUCCUGAUGCAGCAGAUAAUAAAGACUCUGUGCUGAUUUAACAGGUGGAGGACUGAUGCCUAUCAUCGUUGGUGUUCUCGUGGCUCUCGUUGUUCUCGUUGCCGUUGUUGCUGGAAUUAUGGUCUGGAAGAAGAAGAACUCUGGCUUCAAACGUGCUCCAUCUUCUGAAGGAGAUUCUUCCUCUGACAAGUCUUAAAGUGUGACUGUGUGUCUUCCUGCUGAACUGAGAGAGAGAGACCAGGAGAUGGAGAUGAGGACCACACACACACACACACACACACACACA